CCGACGGUGAGGGGCGAAAGCUGGGGGAGCAAACCGGAUUAGAUACCCGGGUAGUCCCAGCUGUAAACGAUGCGCGUUAGGUGUAUCAGUGACCACGAGUCACUGAGGUGCCGAAGAGAAAUCGUGAAACGUGCCGCCUGGGAAGUACGGUCGCAAGGCUGAAACUUAAAGGAAUUGGCGGGGGAGCACCACAACAGGUGGAGCCUGCGGUUUAAUCGGACUCAACGCCGGGAAACUCACCAGUUAAGACAGCUGAAUGAUAGUCGGGCUGAAGACUCUACUUGACUAGCUGAGAGGAGGUGCAUGGCCGUCGUCAGUUCGUACUGUGAAGCAUCCUGUUAAGUCAGGCAACGAGCGAGACCCACGCCAACAGUUGCU
Molecule: ribosomal RNA, 378 nt
Filed under: uncultured archaeon
Lineage: Archaea
Description: bacterial SSU rRNA
Rfam family: Archaeal small subunit ribosomal RNA
Source: RNAcentral